ACCGGCGCACGGGUGAGUAACACGUAUGCAACCUGCCUGUAAGAGGGGAAUAACCCGUUGAAAGACGGACUAAUACCGCAUAAUACUAAAUUACUGCAUGGUAAUUUAUUUAAACAUUUAUGGCUUACAGAUGGGCAUGCGCAUGAUUAGAUAGUUGGAGAGGUAACGGCUCCCCAAGUCAACGAUCAUUAGGGGUUCUGAGAGGAAGGUCCCCCACACUGGUACUGAGACACGGACCAGACUCCUACGGGAGGCAGCAGUGAGGAAUAUUGGACAAUGGGCGAGAGCCUGAACCAGCCAAGUCGCGUGCAGGAAGAAUGUCCUAUGGAUUGUAAACUGCUUUUGCAGGGGAAUAAAGUGAGCCACGUGUGGUUUUUUGUAUGUACUCUGCGAAUAAGGAUCGGCUAACUCCGUGCCAGCAGCCGCGGUAAUACGGAGGAUCCGAGCGUUAUCCGGAUUUAUUGGGUUUAAAGGGUGCGUAGGCGGGAUAAUAAGUCAGUGGUGAAAGUUUGCAGCUUAACUGUAAAAUUGCCGUUGAAACUGUUAUUCUUGAGAGUAGAUAAGGUAGGCGGAAUGUGUUGUGUAGCGGUGAAAUGCAUAGAUAUAACGCAGAACCCCGAUUGCGAAGGCAGCUUACCGGGCUACCUCUGACGCUGAUGCACGAAAGCGUGGGGAUCAAACAGGAUUAGAUACCCUGGUAGUCCACGCC
This 709-nucleotide ribosomal RNA is filed under the name uncultured bacterium. RNAcentral's name for it is "bacterial SSU rRNA". It matches the Rfam family "Bacterial small subunit ribosomal RNA", at positions 94 to 801 of the family's 1533-position model. The record is from RNAcentral.